RNAcentral lists this transfer RNA (84 nucleotides) under Gammaproteobacteria bacterium. RNAcentral's name for it is "tRNA-Leu". It matches the Rfam family "tRNA". From Rfam's summary of the family: Transfer RNA (tRNA) molecules are approximately 80 nucleotides in length. Their secondary structure includes four short double-helical elements and three loops (D, anti-codon, and T loops). Further hydrogen bonds mediate the characteristic L-shaped molecular structure. tRNAs have two regions of fundamental functional importance: the anti-codon, which is responsible for specific mRNA codon recognition, and the 3' end, to which the tRNAs corresponding amino acid is attached (by aminoacyl-tRNA synthetases). tRNAs cope with the degeneracy of the genetic code in two manners: having more than one tRNA (with a specific anti-codon) for a particular amino acid; and 'wobble' base-pairing, i.e. permitting non-standard base-pairing at the 3rd anti-codon position. Lineage: Bacteria; Pseudomonadati; Pseudomonadota; Gammaproteobacteria. The record is from RNAcentral.
GCCGGGAUGGCGGAACAGGUAGACGCGAAGGUCUCAAAAUCCUUUGCCCCUUGGGGCGUGUGGGUUCGAGUCCCACUCCCGGCA